RNA transcript from Cannabis sativa, 1471 nucleotides. It is a transcript of the gene named villin-2-like, with no coding region annotated. NCBI's taxonomy places the organism in Eukaryota, Viridiplantae, Streptophyta, Magnoliopsida, Rosales, Cannabaceae. The record is from RefSeq and is a predicted model, not a curated record. The transcript is spliced from 3 exons.
UUUCAGAGCAUUUGCUUGUUUCUUAUUUUUUACUUUUCUUAAAUUGUUAGUAUAAAUCAAUGUUUAGUUAAAUUAUGGUGCAAGAGUUUCAUAUAUGUUUUGUUCCAUUUGAAUGUUAGAUACUUUUGCAAAUUUGAAAUCGACCAUAGCUUUAAAUUUGUUUAUUGUAAUAAGCUUGCUUGAAAGUUUACAUCGUUACAUGAACUAUUACAUGAUGAUGUUAUUUUAUUAGUUUUCAGAGCAUUUGCUUGUCUCUUAUUUUUCACUAUUCUUAAAUUGUUGGUAUAAAUCAAUGUUUAGAUAAAUUAUGGCGCAGGAGUUUCAUAUAUGUUUUGUUCGAUUUGAAUGUAAGAUACUUUUGCAAAUUUGAAACCGACCAUAGCUUUAAAUCUGUUUAUAGUAAUAAGCUUGCUUGAAAAAGUAAAGUUCUUGCCAUAUUUUUGUUGGCGGCCAUAUGCUCUUGGUCACGUUUGAUUGGUCAAAGCUUGUGUGACUAUAUCCACCAAUUUAAUAAAACAGAAUUGUUUACUAUUUGUAGGAGGAUCGGAAAAUGGCUUCUCGUUUGGCAAAUACCAUGUCCAACUCACUGAAAGGGAGACCUGUUCAGGGUGGAUUGAGUUCUGGUUAUAAAAAAAAUGUUGCAGAGAAAGGUUUGACUGAUGAAACUUACACAGCAGAAAGUAUCACUUUGAUUAGGAUUUCUGGAACUUCCAUUCAUAAUAAUAAAGUAGUGCAAGUUGAUGCGCAUCACUGAACUCUGCUGAUUGUUCCCUCAUGCAUGUUUGAACAACAACAGUUGGCCUCGAAAGUUGCAGAGUUUAUGAAGGUAUACUUCUAGGCAAACGUUAAUGACAUGAUUUAAAUAAUUGAGCAGAUAUCAAUUUGAUAGGAAUCAUACAAUUUUAGGUCUUCUUACAGCUUGAGCAGUAUUGAAACAUAAGUUUCUAGAGUUUCUUCAUAUAUUGAUGAUAUAUCAAUUUAAUUAUUUGUUUAUUCCUACUUAUUCAGCCAGGAGUUACUUUAAAACAUACUAAAGAAGGAACUGAAAGCUCAACUUUCUGGUUUAUAUUGAAUUUGUUAUGAUUGUUAAACUAGAGUCAAAUAUAGUAUGAUAUUAAUUGUAACUCUUUGUACCUCAAUGGCUAGCUUGUUUUUUAUACUUAUAUAAAUACUAACUAUGUAUUCUUGAUUCAUAAUAAAAACUUUUUUUAAUUCUUUUUUUCUUUAAGUUUCCUUUAUAGUAUAGUGGUGUUUGCUUUAAUGUAAUAUAAUGUAAUGAGAAUGGUAAUUAUAAUAUGAAUGAUAAUGUAAUGGAAUAAGAAUUGUAAUAAGAAUAAUAUUUUGAUGAUUGGUUUAACUAAUAAACAUUGUAAUCAAAUAAAAUAAGUUGUAUAUUGACAAAAAUACUUUUAAUUUUAUUAUUUUUAAUAUUUAAAAUUUAAAUUAAAGUAACAAAAAAAGACAAAAGAAA